GCGCCGGUAGCUCAUUCGUAAGAGCAGUGGGAUAGUACCUCACAGUCCCGGGAUCAAGUCCCGGCCGUCCA
Non-coding RNA from Phthorimaea operculella (potato tuberworm), 71 nucleotides. The record is from the annotation of a GenBank genome assembly. NCBI's taxonomy places the organism in Eukaryota, Metazoa, Arthropoda, Insecta, Lepidoptera, Gelechiidae.